This 488-nucleotide ribosomal RNA is filed under the name uncultured beta proteobacterium. Its description in RNAcentral is "bacterial SSU rRNA". It matches the Rfam family "Bacterial small subunit ribosomal RNA", at positions 378 to 859 of the family's 1533-position model. The record is from RNAcentral. Lineage: Bacteria; Pseudomonadati; Pseudomonadota; Betaproteobacteria.
AAACCCUGAUCCAGCCAUCCCGCGUGUGCGAUGAAGGCCUUCGGGUUGUAAAGCACUUUUGGCAGGAAAGAAACGUCAUGGGUUAAUACCCCGUGAAACUGACGGUACCUGCAGAAUAAGCACCGGCUAACUACGUGCCAGCAGCCGCGGUAAUACGUAGGGUGCAAGCGUUAAUCGGAAUUACUGGGCGUAAAGCGUGCGCAGGCGGUUCGGAAAGAAAGAUGUGAAAUCCCAGAGCUUAACUUUGGAACUGCAUUUUUAACUACCGGGCUAGAGUGUGUCAGAGGGAGGUGGAAUUCCGCGUGUAGCAGUGAAAUGCGUAGAUAUGCGGAGGAACACCGAUGGCGAAGGCAGCCUCCUGGGAUAACACUGACGCUCAUGCACGAAAGCGUGGGGAGCAAACAGGAUUAGAUACCCUGGUAGUCCACGCCCUAAACGAUGUCAACUAGCUGUUGGGGCCUUCGGGCCUUGGUAGCGCAGCUAACGCG